GGCAGGACUAGGAGAGAGUAGAGGGGCUGGAGACAGGCUGCCAGAGGGCUCAGAACCCCAGCGCACCUCCCUGUCCUAACUCUGUCCACCUCCUGCUGUGGCCACAGCAACAGAAGAGACAGCUAAUAAGACAGGAAGUGAGGCCUGGUACCUUGUGGACAGUGGUGUCAUUAGCUGCGACGCCUAAGAUGACUCAAGAGAUGGGAGAGCUCACCCAAACUAGAUUGCAGAAGAUCUGGAUUCCACAUAGCAGCGGCAACAGUAGGCUGCAACGGAGGAGGGGCUCAUCCAUACCCCAGUUUACAAAUUCCCCCACGAUGGUGAUCAUGGUGGGUUUACCAGCUCGAGGAAAGACCUACAUCUCCACGAAGCUCACACGUUAUCUCAAUUGGAUAGGAACACCAACUAAAGUGUUUAAUUUAGGCCAGUAUCGACGAGAGGCAGUGAGCUACAAGAACUACGAAUUCUUUCUCCCAGACAACAUGGAGGCCCUACUUAUCAGGAAGCAGUGUGCCCUGGCAGCUCUGAAAGAUGUCCAUAACUAUCUUAGCCAUGAGGAAGGUCACGUUGCGGUUUUUGAUGCCACCAAUACUACCAGAGAAAGACGGUCUUUGAUUCUACAGUUUGCUAAAGAACACGGUUAUAAGGUCUUUUUCAUUGAGUCCAUUUGUAAUGACCCCGACGUCAUUGCAGAAAACAUCAGGCAAGUGAAGCUUGGCAGCCCUGAUUAUAUAGACUGUGACCGUGAAAAGGUUCUAGAAGACUUUCUAAAAAGAAUCCAGUGCUAUGAGGUCAACUACCAACCUUUGGAUGAUGAACUGGACAGCCACUUGUCCUACAUCAAGAUCUUCGACGUGGGCACACGCUACAUGGUGAACCGCGUGCAGGACCACAUCCAGAGCCGCACAGUCUACUAUCUCAUGAACAUCCAUGUCACACCCCGCUCCAUCUACCUAUGCCGGCACGGUGAGAGUGAACUCAACCUCAGAGGCUGCAUCGGAGGUGACUCUGGCCUCUCACCUCGGGGCAAGCAGUAUGCCUAUGCCUUGGCCGACUUCAUUAAGUCCCAGGCCAUCAGCUCCCUGAAGGUGUGGACCAGCCACAUGAAGAGGACUAUCCAGACAGCUGAAGCCCUGGGUGUCCCCUAUGAGCAGUGGAAGGCCCUGAAUGAGAUUGAUGCGGGUGUCUGUGAGGAAAUGACAUAUGAGGAAAUCCAAGAGCACUAUCCCGAAGAAUUUGCCCUACGAGACCAAGAUAAAUAUCGCUACCGCUAUCCCAAGGGAGAGUCCUAUGAAGAUCUGGUCCAGCGUCUGGAGCCAGUUAUAAUGGAGCUAGAACGUCAGGAAAAUGUAUUAGUGAUUUGCCACCAGGCUGUCAUGCGGUGCCUCCUGGCCUACUUCCUGGACAAGAGCUCAGGUGUCUCUCAGCUCUCUUCCUCCCUGCCCACCCUGCUGUCAACACUGCCCCCACAGUGUGUGUGGGGGAACAAGGCCCAGAUGAGCUGCCAUAUCUCAAGUGCCCUCUGCACACAGUGCUCAAACUUACACCUGUGGCUUAUGGCUGCAAAGUGGAGUCGAUCUACCUGAAUGUGGAGGCUGUCAACACACACCGGGAGAAGCCUGAGACCUCUCAGCCCCUGAGAGAAUCCUAGGCACAGCUCCACUGAUGCUCCUGCUCUUCAAGCAUUAUGAUCCACCCAUACCAGGAAUCCCUCCUUUGAGAACCACUCUACCAAGGCCAAGAAGAAGAGAUAAGCAAAACAGGUAUUUCACCAACUUAUUUGCCUGGGAGAACAGGAAUACAUGGGGAAAUCUCAGUAUGUUUUCAGAAAACUUGGAAGGAUGACAGAGAAGAGGACAGGUGAAGAAGAGAAAAGACUGGGCAACAUUGGAUUCUUACCCUUUCUUGCAAAAUGGCCACAUCUCGGGAUAGCGGAGGCCUCCGGCCCCAUGGGAUCCGCCUAUAAAUACCACCACCUCUCUCAUCCCCAUUCAGAUACUUGGACUGCAUCAUCAGAAAGAAGGAAGGUCCAGAGUCACCAGGUUAAAGUGAUGGCUUUGUUCUCCUCACCCUGCUUGUUCCUAAGUCUCCCAAACCUUCCCUAUAGUGGGUCCUGACCUUACUGUUGGCCUCACUGAGUCCCAGACUUGUCUUUCACUGUCUUCUAGGCAGGAGUUUUAUUUCCCUGACAAGAGAGGAGAAACCAAGGGCAAGGGCCAGUUCUCCUCUUCUUUUGGCCACCAGUGGCUAUAUUAGCUGUAUACUUUCAACAAGUCACCUCACCUAUCUGGGACUCAGUUUUCUUUUCUGUAAAACUGGGACCUAUGAUUCCUAGCUGGUAAGGGUUACUUUAAAACACAAAGAUAUAAUCUGUGUGACUAUACCCAACACAAAGCCUGACACAAGGUCACUAAUACAUAAAUACAAGUUGAAUUAUACCCAG
RNA transcript from Phacochoerus africanus (Common warthog), 2443 nucleotides. It is a transcript of the gene named 6-phosphofructo-2-kinase/fructose-2,6-biphosphatase 1, with no coding region annotated. NCBI's taxonomy places the organism in Eukaryota, Metazoa, Chordata, Mammalia, Artiodactyla, Suidae. The transcript is spliced from 16 exons. The record is from RefSeq and is a predicted model, not a curated record.